RNAcentral lists this ribosomal RNA (450 nucleotides) under uncultured bacterium. RNAcentral describes it as "partial 16S ribosomal RNA". It matches the Rfam family "Bacterial small subunit ribosomal RNA", at positions 354 to 796 of the family's 1533-position model. The record is from RNAcentral.
GUGGGGAAUAUUGGACAAUGGGCGAAAGCCUGAUCCAGCCAUGCCGCGUGUGUGAAGAAGGUCUUCGGAUUGUAAAGCACUUUAAGUUGGGAGGAAGGGCAGUAAGUUAAUACCUUGCUGUUUUGACGUUACCGACAGAAUAAGCACCGGCUAACUUCGUGCCAGCAGCCGCGGUAAUACGAAGGGUGCAAGCGUUAAUCGGAAUUACUGGGCGUAAAGCGCGCGUAGGUGGUUUUGUAAGUUGGAGGUGAAAACCCCGGGGUCAACCUGGGAACUGCCUCGAAAACUGCAUGACUAGAGAACGGUAGAGGGUAGUGGAAUUUCCUGUGUAGCGGUGAAAUGCGUGGAUAUAGGAAGGAACACCAGUGGCGAAGGCGACUACCUGGACUGAUACUGACACUGAGGUGCGAAAGCGUGGGGAGCAAACAGGAUUAGAAACCCCUGUAGUCC